UGGGGAAUAUUGGACAAUGGGGGCAACCCUGAUCCAGCAAUGCCGCGUGAGUGAUGAAGGCCCUAGGGUUGUAAAGCUCUUUUACCAGGGAUGAUAAUGACAGUACCUGGAGAAUAAGCUCCGGCUAACUCCGUGCCAGCAGCCGCGGUAAUACGGAGGAUGCAAGCGUUAUCCGGAAUAAUUGGGCGUAAAGCGUUCGUAGGUGGUUCUGUAAGUCUGCUGUUAAAGCGUGUAGCUCAACUACAUAUAGGCAGUGGAAACUACAGAACUUGAGUGCGUUCGGGGUAGAGGGAAUUCCUGGUGUAGCGGUGAAAUGCGUAGAGAUCAGGAAGAACACCGGUGGCGAAGGCGCUCUACUAGACCGCAACUGACACUGAGGGACGAAAGCUAGGGGAGCGAAUGGGAUUAGAUACCCCCGUAGUCC
Molecule: ribosomal RNA, 424 nt
Filed under: uncultured prokaryote
Description: partial 16S ribosomal RNA
Rfam family: Bacterial small subunit ribosomal RNA
Source: RNAcentral